AUACGAAGGCGGCAAGCGUUGUUCGGAAUAACUGGGCGUAAAGCGCACGUAGGCGGAAUGUUAAGUUAGAGGUGAAAUCCCAGGGCUCAACCCUGGAACUGCCUUUAAUACUGGCAAUCUAGAGACCGAGAGAGGUGAGUGGAAUUCCGAGUGUAGAGGUGAAAUUCGUAGAUAUUCGGAGGAACACCAGUGGCGAAGGCGGCUCACUGGCUCGGUACUGACGCUGAGGUGCGAAAGCGUGGGGAGCAAACAGGAUUAGAUACCCUAGUAGUCC
This 274-nucleotide ribosomal RNA is filed under the name uncultured bacterium. RNAcentral describes it as "partial 16S ribosomal RNA". It matches the Rfam family "Bacterial small subunit ribosomal RNA", at positions 523 to 796 of the family's 1533-position model. The record is from RNAcentral.